RNAcentral lists this ribosomal RNA (497 nucleotides) under uncultured bacterium. Its description in RNAcentral is "partial 16S ribosomal RNA". It matches the Rfam family "Bacterial small subunit ribosomal RNA", at positions 28 to 507 of the family's 1533-position model. The record is from RNAcentral.
GAUGAACGCUGGCGGCGUGCCUAAUACAUGCAAGUCGAGCGAACGGACGAGAAGCUUGCUUCUCUGAUGUUAGCGGCGGACGGGUGAGUAACACGUGGAUAGCCUACCUAUAAGACUGGGAUAACUUCGUGAAACCGUAGCUAAUACCGGAUAAUAUUUUGAACCGCAUGGUUCAAAAGUGAAAGACGGUCUUGCUGUCACUUAUAGAUGGAUCCGCGCUGCAUUAGCUAGUUGGUAAGGUAACGGCUUACCAAGGCAACGAUGCAUAGCCGACCUGAGAGGGUGAUCAGCCACACUGGAACUGAGACACGGUCCAGACUCCUACGGGAGGCAGCAGUAGGGAAUCUUCCGCAAUGGGCGAAAGCCUGACGGAGCAACGCCGCGUGAGUGAUGAAGGUCUUCGGAUCGUAAAACUCUGUUAUUAGGGAAGAACAUAUGUGUAAGUAACUGUGCACAUCUUGACGGUACCUAAUCAGAAAGCCACGGCUAACUACGUG